AGCGAACGCUGGCGGCAGGCCUAACACAUGCAAGUCGAACGGCAGCACAGGAGAGCUUGCUCUCUGGGUGGCGAGUGGCGGACGGGUGAGGAAUACAUCGGAAUCUACUCUGUCGUGGGGGAUAACGUAGGGAAACUUACGCUAAUACCGCAUACGACCUACGGGUGAAAGCAGGGGACCUUCGGGCCUUGCGCGAUUGAAUGAGCCGAUGUCGGAUUAGCUAGUUGGCGGGGUAAAGGCCCACCAAGGCGACGAUCCGUAGCUGGUCUGAGAGGAUGAUCAGCAACACUGGAACUGAGACACGGUCCAGACUCCUACGGGAGGAAGCAGUGGGGAAUAUUGGACAAUGGGCGCAAGCCUGAUCCAGCCAUACCGCGUGGGUGAAGAAGGCCUUCGGGUUGUAAAGCCCUUUUGUUGGGAAAGAAAUCCAGCUGGCUAAUACCCGGUUGGGAUGACGGUACCCAAAGAAUAAGCACCGGCUAACUUCGUGCCAGCCGCCGCCGUAA
Molecule: ribosomal RNA, 506 nt
Filed under: uncultured bacterium
Lineage: Bacteria
Description: partial 16S ribosomal RNA
Rfam family: Bacterial small subunit ribosomal RNA
Source: RNAcentral